CGCUUUCACGCUCUCUGUCCCAGGCAAGGGAGCUGUAAGUGCGCAUGCUCCGUACAAGCCCCAGCCGGUGGGUGGGAGAGCGAAGCUGCAGCAGUCGUCUGCGGGUCACCUGGCUGCAGAGUGACAUCCCUGUUUCACUCCAGCACAUCCCAUCCUCCUGUGGGACAGGGGAGAAAAAUGGCUGCAGUGGAGCAAGUUCAGGGGCCAGUGACCUUUGAGGAGGUGGCUGUGUAUUUCACCAGGGAAGAGUGGGCUCUGCUGGGCCCCAUUCAGAGAGCCCUCUACAGAGCCGUCAUGCAGGAGAACUAUGAGAAUGUGACCUCGCUGGGUAACGAUUCCUGUACUCUCUGUUCUUGGAAGUGGAAAUGAAGAGUUAAGGUUCAUGCCACCUUCACAA
Molecule: long non-coding RNA, 397 nt
Organism: Mauremys mutica (yellowpond turtle)
Lineage: Eukaryota; Metazoa; Chordata; Testudines; Geoemydidae
Exons: 3
Source: RefSeq, a predicted model, not a curated record